GGGGAGAACAACAAAAUUUUAAUAUUAUUAUUUUGUCACCUUAGGUCGAUCGGGUAUCUCACGUUCUUAAUUCUUUAAAGAAUUUCUUUUCCUAAGUUUUUCUAGGUCACACCCAUUUUCCUGGGCCAUUAGCUCAGGUGGUUAGAGCGCACCCCUGAUAAGGGUGAGGUCCCUGGUUCAGUCCAGGAUGGCCCAUAUCUCUAUGUUGGGGUAUAGUCAGUGGUAGAGCGCCUGCUUUGCAAGCAGGAUGUCAGCGGUUCGAGUCCGCUUACCUCCACUGAUUACCACCUCCUCCAUAAUGUGUAGAAAGGAAAAUUUUGAGUUGUGACUAUAGUUCUGAACGAAUCUAGCUUCCUAAUAAAAUCAUUAAGAUGCUGGACUCAUUGAAUUAAUUUCAUUGUUUUCAGAGAACCUUGACAACUGCAUAGAUUAUUUUUAAAGACAAUAAGCAUCUUUAGUGAUGCAGAUUUAUUAUUUGUGCAAAUGCAUUAAUAACAAUUCUAUUAAGCUGAUGCUUCA
This 519-nucleotide transfer RNA is filed under the name uncultured Prochlorococcus sp. RNAcentral's name for it is "partial 16S-23S ribosomal RNA intergenic spacer". The stretch from base 123 to 195 matches the Rfam family "tRNA". The record is from RNAcentral. Lineage: Bacteria; Bacillati; Cyanobacteriota; Cyanophyceae; Synechococcales; Prochlorococcaceae.